This 406-nucleotide ribosomal RNA is filed under the name uncultured bacterium. RNAcentral describes it as "partial 16S ribosomal RNA". It matches the Rfam family "Bacterial small subunit ribosomal RNA", at positions 30 to 526 of the family's 1533-position model. The record is from RNAcentral.
AUUGAACGCUGGCGGCAGGCCUAACACAUGCAAGUCGAACGAGUGGCGGACGGGUGAGUAAUGUCUGGGAAACUGCCUGAUGGAGGGGGAUAACUACUGGAAACGGUAGCUAAUACCGCAUACCAUCGGAUGUGCCCAGAUGGGAUUAGCUAGUAGUUGGGGUAAAGGCUCACCUAGGCGACGAUCCCUAGCUGGUCUGAGAGGGUGACCAGCGACUCUGGAACUGAGCCCCGUUCCGGACUCCUACGGGAGGCAGCAGUGGGGAAUAUUGCACAGUGGGCGACAGCCUGAUGCAGCCAUGCCGCGUGUAUGAAGAAGGCGUUCGGGUUGUAAAGUACUUUCAGCGGGGAGGCGUGACCCGCAGAAGAAGCGCCGGCUAACUCCGUGCCAGCCGCCGCGGUAAUAC